Molecule: long non-coding RNA, 2838 nt
Organism: Alnus glutinosa
Lineage: Eukaryota; Viridiplantae; Streptophyta; Magnoliopsida; Fagales; Betulaceae
Exons: 3
Source: RefSeq, a predicted model, not a curated record
CCUCCCAAGUCCCACCUACACAGCAUCAACAAAUGUAUGGUGUAUUGUUGUUUUAUGAAAUGAAGAUGAGUGGUCCUCCUGCACAUGAUUCACUUUCCAUGAGAUGGGCAUCUGCAUUUAGAUUAUCUAUACAAGCAUGUGAAGAAAGCUAGUUAGAGGGAGAAGCUCUGAUCUCCUCUUGUGAAAUCAUCCUCGCCUCCUCAUGAGACUUCCCCCUUUAUUUAUCAGGUUGGAGUUAUUUCUCCUUUUUCUUCGUUCUUUAUGUCCUUCCGUCUUCUGUUUGUUUUUUGCUUGCAGGUUUUAUAGCGCACCUCUGUCUCCACCGCCGAACGUUCGGAUUCUCACCGUCCCCUCCGGUCUUCUCCGCCUUCCUCUGUCCUCCCUGAGAAUACUGAGUUGAUGAAUAACGUGUAACAUUUUCUUGAAGCAGACAUAAAUCUAACAUGUAUUGACAUUUAUAGUUACACAAUUACAAUUGACUGAAACAUAAUGGCAGCUUUGAGUUGGCUUUCCAGAAGUUCCCAAAAUAGUAUAAUUCUGUACACGUACGUCUACCAGGAUCAUAUAGCAGCAACUAGCAAGUCUUUUUUAUUUUUUUCUCCUUAUUUCCCUUUCUAGUCAACCAUAAAGCAAUUCACAUUUCAAAGUUCACACUCUUGGAUCUAUUUCUUACUCCAUGCGAGAACUCAAUUACCAAGAAAUGCAGUUUAGAGAUCAAAGAAGCUGAACUUCUAACUAUAUAAGCUAACUGCUCAAAUAACAUUUCAAAUUGCAGGUUGCUUGGAAUGCCAAGUUCACAAUUACCACUUACAUUUCUAUGUAAGGUACCAUAUGGACAUAAAGAAAGGAGGCUUAGGAUUCCUCGAUUUAUCUUACCAAAAUCUAUCUUUCUUGUUACUUUUCCGUCUCACGUUAGGUAGGCACGUAACAAUUGCUGCAGAUUGCUGAAAGUAUGGACCAGUCUUGGUUUGGAUGUGGAUGGUUCGAGCUUGUUGGUAUGCAGUCUUAAUCCAAUAUUCUCUUUGUGUGAAAGUGGCACACCUGAAAUAAUUUCAUUAUAUUUCUAAAUUCUCUAAUGUGGAUAAAGUCAAUACAACCAUGUCAAGUCCAUUCAAAGUUCACACUAAAAUUCUAGACUUAGCUUCUAAGACUCAAAUGACCUGCAACUUCAUCAUUCAUGGCAUAAAAGGAAAGAAAAUUUCUAGUCCACUGGACUACCAUUUUGCAGGGAAGGAAAAGUGUUUUGAAUGACAACUAAUUAGAUAAGUGAACAACAAACAAGAGGUUUUCCCUUAAAAAUAAAAUAAAAAAAAUUUACCCUAAAUUUUUUUUUUUCUUAGUUUUGCAACGCAAAUUGUUUUUUUCAAUUUUUCUCCCUCAAAUCCCAAAUGCUAGCUCUGCCCCUGGUUGCAAGAAGCCUUGGAUGAUUGUGUUAUAUGUGAUAUGGUAAGGUGAACAACCAUUUUCCUCUAUUUUCUCAAAUAGCUCCCUUGCUUCAUUUAGUAGUUCCUCUUUGCAAAGCCCUUUGAUCAUUAGUGAUUCAUUGUAGUGUUAGUGUAAGUCCAAAACUGUGUCGGAUCAACAAUGGCAGACUGAUAUUUUGGCAUCAAAUUGGUCACAUUUUGUUGAUUCUAAAGAGAGGUGCAGGUAUGCCAGAAGCUUAUUCUGAGAAACAAUUUCAGUUGAGUCGUAAAGGUUUCAAAAGUUAUAAUCAUGCAAAAAUCCUUCAUGUUCAUGUAGUGUCUGGAUGGUUUGGAAUCAAAUUGCUAUAACUCAAUCGGUCGCCUCUUCCUCAAUUUGUGAGGACUCCCCAUGUAGCAGGAUAUCUUGUGCUUGCCAACCCUUCUAUAUUUAAAAUACCAUUUCAGACUCCUGGGUACAACAAUUCAAAUUUGCAGCCUGAAUCCAGCUGUCUUUCUUUUGCUCCUCCAGAGUUGGCAGCUAUCGUUUGGUAGAUACCAGGCUGACGAACAGGCUUGGGUGGAUACUAUAAAAUCUAUAGGAAGUGGAGGAACUGUUAGAAUUAGUACCAUGGACUGGCUGAAAGGAAGAAGUUAUAUGUGGGACUUAUUGAUGUCAAGAAACUGUCAAAGGAUGCAUCCAUGCAUGCUGCACAGAUUGAGUGCCUCCCACUUCGGGUUGUUGUCCAAGUUCUCUUUUGUUAGCAAGUUAGAGCAUCUGCUAGUGUUUCGUCCCUUGGGCAAUUGGCUAAGAAGAACAGUAAAAAGAGCCAAAGUAGCAUGUAGUUGCUGUCAUCCCGAUCCAGGCGAAUAUUCAAUAAACUGCGGGUUGUGGGUAAAGGACAUGGAGUCAACCAAAGCUCCAAGACAUCCGGGAGUCCUCAGAGCCCUGACUUCAUUGGUUCCCGGAAACACCACAUCCUCAGCUUCAGCUUCAAGACACAGGAGGCAUUCCAUCUCCUAGAAUGGUAUUUGGGGAUUCAUUUAGAUCCAAGUGAAGAAGAUUCAAAAAAGUGUAACAAAAGUGGUAGGUUUUUAUCAUAUAGCUUAUGAUUGGGUUUUAACUUUUUAGCUGCAAAAUAUUCUGAAUAUGGUGUACUGCAGGGAAAAAAAUAAAUAAAUAAAAGGUAAUGAGCCUUUCCAACCUUUUGGGUUUGUUCUCUCCCUAACAUCCUUUGGCUCCAAACUGUAAGAUUUACCUAUCCUAUAAAAGUCCACGUAGGUCACUGGAGUAGGGCUCUUUAUGCUUUAUUGAUGCUUGAUGCUUUCCUUGCACAGGAUUUUGAUUACUUGAGCCUCUGGGCAGAACUUUUAGGUGAAGUACAUAUGUUGUACCUUCAGUUCCCCAUUGAAAAUAAACCACCAUAUCUUAAUCAAA